Rhinichthys klamathensis goyatoka is the source of this 166-nucleotide long non-coding RNA. RefSeq lists it as uncharacterized. The transcript is spliced from 2 exons. Lineage: Eukaryota; Metazoa; Chordata; Actinopteri; Cypriniformes; Leuciscidae. The record is from RefSeq and is a predicted model, not a curated record.
AUGCUUUCAAAAUCUGAGGUAAAUGAUCCAUUAUCGCUUGUGGCACAAGAAUUGAAUGCCUUUGAACUUCGACGAUCAGUUCCUCGUCGUCCAUGUUUGAUGAUUAAAUAUUCAUGACACGCAGAACUUCCAUCCAAUGAGAUCUCUGUGUGGGCGGAUCUGUCAG